This 76-nucleotide transfer RNA is filed under the name Actinomycetes bacterium. RNAcentral describes it as "tRNA-Val". It matches the Rfam family "tRNA". Rfam says of the family: Transfer RNA (tRNA) molecules are approximately 80 nucleotides in length. Their secondary structure includes four short double-helical elements and three loops (D, anti-codon, and T loops). RNAcentral also lists the same sequence under 1 other name. The record is from RNAcentral. Lineage: Bacteria; Bacillati; Actinomycetota; Actinomycetes.
GGGCCCAUAGCUCAGUUGGUAGAGCGCCUCGUUUACACCGAGGAUGUCGUCGGUUCGAGUCCGGCUGGGCCCACCA